AUUCUAUAUCGACUCAAUUCGUGCACAUCCAGGCAAGACACCGCUCCCGAUCUCGUCCUUCAUCACAUACAUGCAAUAAUUAGUCCUCUCGCCAGCAACAAGGAGCAGACAGGUUGUGUGGCAGUACUUGCAGAGAGAAAGCGCCGAUAAACUUGAGAUUCAGAUCACCAAUUACAGAGCGUGCACAUCCCGGCAAGACAUUGCCCUCCUCUCGCAAGCAACAAGGAGCAGACAGAGAGAAAGUGGCGAUAAAAUUGAGAUUCUGAUCACCAAUUACAGAGCAUAUACGUCCUCUCAUCGGAAGGAUUCACUAGCCGCAGUCAACAUGUGUCAAACACGCACUAGAGCAAAUCAAAACAACGGAAGGAAUAUGUGGCAUCAUCAAGGAAUCUAAAUACCUGAGCAAGCAGCCUCCAAACUAGCAACACUCUAAUCUAAUGAUAGUCAAUCAGACAUCAUUAGAGCAGCAGCAAAGGAAGCUAGGCGGAAAAGGAAAGAGAUCCUCAAGCUGAAAAAGGCAAGCAAACGACUAAGGACAGCAAAGGGCAAUGACUGUGAAGUAUCUCAUGUAGCGAAGGAUGUCACUCAAAUUUCAUAUCUGGGAAAACCAAAUUGUGUUUCUGAAUUUUGCAAUGCCAUUAUGUGGCAUGGAGAGAGAAGCACAAGCACAGGUAACAUCACAGUUCCACAAUUUGGUCUCUGCUGCAAGGAAGGGAAAGUUAAAUUACCACCACUGAAACAAGCUCCGCUGUAUCUCCGACAGCUACUACGUUACAAUGAAAGAGGAGAAUCAUCAAAUUUCCGCAAGAACAUCAGGUUGUACAACUCGAUGUUCGCAUUCACUUCAAUGGGAGGAAAGGUUGACUAUGAAAUUAAUAAGCAGGCAUCUGGACCGUAUGUUUUCCGUUUGAAUGGCCAGAAUUACCAUCAUAUUGGCACUUUACUUCCUAAAGAUGACGUGACGAAGCCAAAAUUUGCCCAAUUGUACAUACAUGACAUAGAAAAUGAAGUGCAGAAUAGGAUUAAUGCAUCUGCUUCAACGGAGAGUAAGACACAACCAGAUGAAAACAUUGUCAAAGGACUACUGGAGAUGCUUGAUGAGCACAAUGUUUUACUCAAAUCAUUUCAUAUGGCAAGGGACAGAUUCCAAAACUGACGUAUUAAAGAUGUAAGACUAAGAUUGAUCAACAAAAGGUCGAAAGAUGGACGGCAAUACAACCUACCAUCUGCCUCAAAAGUCGCAGCACUAAUUAUUGGGGAACAAGAUGGAGAAAAUAAUGAAUUUGAUAUAACAGUUGAGACCAAAGACAGAAUGUUACAGAGGAUUUCAGAGUUGCACCCAAGCUAAAUGUCAAUGCAGUACCCCUUGCUUUUUCCAUAUGGAGAAGAUGGUUUCAGACCAGAAAUAGAGUAUGAGAAAAAAGAGGUAGCAAAGGUAAAAGAAAGUAUGUAACAAUGCUGGAGUUUUAUGUGUAUCGCAUACAACAACGUCUAAACCAAGCUUCAACAUUGCAAAUGAGUGGACGUUUGUUCCUGCAGUUCUUAGUUGAUGUAGCAACGUACAUUGAACAGUGGAGACGAAAUUGGUACAGGACAAACCAAGGUAAGUUGAGGACAGAACUGUACAGAGGACUGCAUGAUGCAAUAGAAAAUGGAGAUACACGAACCGAAAAGAAUCAUACUACCCUCAUCAUAUAAUGGCAGUCCAAGAAAUAAGCAGCAAAACUACCAAGAUGCCAUGGCGAUUUGUCGUUGGGCUGGCUAUCCUGAUCUCUUCCUUACUUUUACAUGCAAUCCAAAAUGGCUGGAAAUACAAGAUAUGUUGGAUCUGAUUCCAGGCCAGAAACCUGAAGAUCGUCCAGAUAUUGUUGCCAGAGUAUUCAUGUUAAAACUGAAGGAACUUAUGAAUGACAUAAAGAACGAAAAGUGUUUUCGACAAACAAUUGCAAUUGUCUACACUAUAGAGUUCUAGAAAAGAGGCCUCCCGCAUGCACACAUACUGGUGUUUCUACACCCAGAUGAUAAAGAUCCAAGUCCUUCCCAGAUCGA
Triticum aestivum (bread wheat) is the source of this 2049-nucleotide long non-coding RNA. RefSeq lists it as uncharacterized. The record is from RefSeq and is a predicted model, not a curated record. The transcript is spliced from 6 exons. Lineage: Eukaryota; Viridiplantae; Streptophyta; Magnoliopsida; Poales; Poaceae.